RNAcentral lists this long non-coding RNA (371 nucleotides) under Equus caballus (horse). RNAcentral's name for it is "lncRNA (ENSECAG00000054658.1)". Lineage: Eukaryota; Metazoa; Chordata; Mammalia; Perissodactyla; Equidae. The record is from RNAcentral.
CCAAUUAUGACGGCAUCAGCCUUUGAGAAAAGAAAACAGCUUUAUUGUGAGAUCCAUCAGUAAGGAGACAGGAGGCAUUUGCUCUCAGAUCCAGGGCUUGGAUCCAGGGCUUGGGGCACAAUUUAUGGGAUGACAGGCAGGGCGGUCUGAAGCAUGGAGAUGGAUGAUUGGAGGGAGCCCCAGGAGCCGAAUGCACCCCGCCUCUCUGCUCUCUCACCCUCAGUCUGCUCCAGGGAACAGUGAGUGGCUUACCCGAUUGCCCUGGGGACCGCUGCUGUACUCCAGAAGGCUCCCAUCCCAAGGGAUGCUGAGAAGUCACCUCAGCUCGGCUAACACUCUGGCCCAGGGAAGGCUCAAGGGCUAUGGGGUCA